Molecule: long non-coding RNA, 584 nt
Filed under: Coffea arabica (coffee)
Lineage: Eukaryota; Viridiplantae; Streptophyta; Magnoliopsida; Gentianales; Rubiaceae
Description: long non-coding RNA (CARA_LNC003529)
Source: RNAcentral
AAAUAACUUCACUUAUAAACUUACUGAAGUUAUUUUCAACCGUCUGAUCCUGUCCCUUUUGUGCUUAGUUACAUUCAUCAACAUAAGAAGGAAAAGGACAUAGGAAAUAGUUUCGGUGGGAUUGUCCGAUAUCUCUCGGCAAAACAUCAUCGAUCCUUUCAUCGCCCCUCUAUUCAUUCCAUGUUAUUCCUCCUCUCACAGAAACGCAAUCCAACCUAUCGCACGUCCCAUUGCAUCUGCGUCGGACUUAUAGAAACAAUUAAGAUCUACAGAAAUAGGGAGGAUCUAAAGAGACUAAACAAGGAGAUUGGCAGCAUAACGAAAGAAGAGAUCUCAGAGGAGCUUUUACAUGAGCAAGAAAGUCUUUUAAGAUUGGCCACGGAGGAGAGAGAUGAACUAAUUCUAUAUAUCACCAACAAUGUCCAGCUUUUGCUUUGGAAAUUUCAAUCCAAGAUCUCCUAGAUCUUUGAAAGAAUUUUAGCGGUAAAAAUAUUCUUGUGAGAGUUGGUUAAUUUCAUUGUCAUCUUCAAUGUUUUAUGACUGAUUGGUUGAGCUGGAAAAUUGAUAUUGAUCAUUCAUGUGUC